ACGCCGCGUGAGCGAAGAAGUAUUUCGGUAUGUAAAGCUCUAUCAGCAGGGAAGAUAAUGACGGUACCUGACUAAGAAGCACCGGCUAAAUACGUGCCAGCAGCCGCGGUAAUACGUAUGGUGCAAGUGUUAUCCGGAUUUACUGGGUGUAAAGGGAGCGCAGGCGGUGCGGCAAGUCUGAUGUGAAAGCCCGGGGCUCAACCCCGGUACUGCAUUGGAAACUGUCGUACUAGAGUGUCGGAGGGGUAAGCGGAAUUCCUAGUGUAGCGGUGAAAUGCGUAGAUAUUAGGAGG
This 293-nucleotide ribosomal RNA is filed under the name uncultured bacterium. Its description in RNAcentral is "partial 16S ribosomal RNA". It matches the Rfam family "Bacterial small subunit ribosomal RNA", at positions 394 to 704 of the family's 1533-position model. The record is from RNAcentral.